Salmo salar (Atlantic salmon) is the source of this 769-nucleotide long non-coding RNA. RefSeq lists it as uncharacterized. NCBI's taxonomy places the organism in Eukaryota, Metazoa, Chordata, Actinopteri, Salmoniformes, Salmonidae. The record is from RefSeq and is a predicted model, not a curated record.
GUUUGAUUAUUUAUAUCUUAAUUUUUUAUAAAUAUAUAUUUUUAUAAAUAGAUUCGGCUCUUCUGAUAUGCGAGCCGGCUCCCAACGUUCACCUACAAGGGCCGGCUCUUAGAGCCGACUCGUUCGCGAACGACCCAAAGUAGUCUGGACUGGUUGAAGCAGAGUGGGAAUGAUUAUUUUGAAUGUGUUUCAGUCUGCCGUGAAUCAUCAAAAUCCAUACACUGAUGGCUCCUUGCGGGACGAAGCAACGUUAACCCAGCUAGCUGAGCUGGCCAGUUGCAUUCUGCUGUUAAUCAUGAACCUGCUCUCCGCCACCAGUUAAAGGAGAUGAUUGAGGGUGAACAUGCAACACAUCAGAUGUAAUUGUCUGGAGCCUGGUGUUGUUGUGGCCAAGGAGCUUUCACUCAAAUGGAACCAGGUUUCGGCUGCUGUGCGACGUUGACUUCCUUCCUCCCAGACAUGUGAAUGCAUCUCCCGGACUGGACACAACUCGGAAAACAUAUUUUUGAGAAGAUCAGGACUUUUGCAAUGAAAAGGCCAUGGACAUUAUAUGUCCUGAUCCAAAGGGCAGGAUAGAAAUAUGCUCUCAGGCUCGAUUCCUUUGUUCAUAUCAUAACAUGACCUGAACCAAAGUUAUUCUAACGAUCUUGUGAUAUAGGCCUAGGUCAAUAUAUUGUUUUUACCUAAGCCUUUGUGUUUGUGUGUUUAAGUUUUUCGUAAUUGUAGGCUACUACCUUUAGCACUUGAAGUUAAUAAAGUAUUGUUGAAA